UACAGGGGGUGCAAACGUUGCUCGGAAUCAUUGGGCGUAAAGCGCACGUAGGCGGUUCGUUAUGUCGGAUGUGAAAGCCCUGGGCUCAACCCAGGAAGUGCACUCGAAACUGCGAGGCUAGAGUACUGGAGAGGUUGGUGGAAUUCUCGGUGUAGAGGUGAAAUUCGUAGAUAUCGAGAGGAACACCGGUGGCGAAGGCGGCCAACUGGACAGAUACUGACGCUGAGAACUCGAAAGCGUGGGGAGCAAACAGG
Molecule: ribosomal RNA, 254 nt
Filed under: uncultured bacterium
Lineage: Bacteria
Description: partial 16S ribosomal RNA
Rfam family: Bacterial small subunit ribosomal RNA
Source: RNAcentral